AAACCACAGAGUUCCUUAUCUUGUCUCUCUGCAUCUGUUUUUACAUGAGCUAGCAGAGCAAAAGAGCAAAGCAGUAACAACCGAAAACUCCUUUUUCCCCUCUCCCCACCCAUAUUUUUGAAGCCACGGGAGAAGUCCCCAGUAGGAUCCAGCUGCCGGCUCUCGUUGGGUUUUUUUGUCUGCAGACCAGAAGCUACCCCAGAUUUCCAUGUGGACAGUCACAGCUGAGGAAGGAUUGAUGGUCUCUGAUGGACAAGGCAGCUGGAGGAGGUGUCUGCAACCCAGGAUAACUGGUAGUAGAAGGGAAGCAGCAUGCACAAGGUCUCACCAGUGGGAAAAAAUGGUGCUUCUCAUCUGCAAGUUGCAAAUUAUUUCACCAUAAAUGAGUCACUUGCUCACUCCCCCCCACUGGGACAGGAGAGAGACUCAGAGAAGUUAGAAGACUUACGGGUUGAUAACAAGACAGUUUAACAGGUAAAGCAAAAGCCGUGCACAGAAGCAAAGCACAACAGGGAAUCCAUUCAUCACUUCCCAUGGGCAGGCAGGUGCUCAGCCAUCCCUUCAAAGGAAGGGCUCCAUCACACGUAAUGGUGACUUGGGAAGAUGGACUCCAUAAUUCCGAACAUGCCUUCCUUCUCCUUCCCCCAGCUUUAUGUGCUGAGUA
Long non-coding RNA from Cyanistes caeruleus (blue tit), 664 nucleotides. RefSeq lists it as uncharacterized. The record is from RefSeq and is a predicted model, not a curated record. NCBI's taxonomy places the organism in Eukaryota, Metazoa, Chordata, Aves, Passeriformes, Paridae.